This 427-nucleotide ribosomal RNA is filed under the name uncultured bacterium. Its description in RNAcentral is "partial 16S ribosomal RNA". It matches the Rfam family "Bacterial small subunit ribosomal RNA", at positions 355 to 774 of the family's 1533-position model. The record is from RNAcentral.
UGGGGAAUAUUGGACAAUGGGCGAAAGCCUGAUCCAGCCAUGCCGCGUGUGUGAAGAAGGUCUUCGGAUUGUAAAGCACUUUAAGUUGGGAGGAAGGGCAUUAACCUAAUACGUUAGUGUUUUGACGUUACCGACAGAAUAAGCACCGGCUAACUCUGUGCCAGCAGCCGCGGUAAUACAGAGGGUGCAAGCGUUAAUCGGAAUUACUGGGCGUAAAGCGCGCGUAGGUGGUUUGUUAAGUUGGAUGUGAAAUCUCCGUGCUCAACCUGGGAACUGCAUUCAAAACUGACUGACUAGAGUAUGGUAGAGGGUGGUGGAAUUUCCUGUGUAGCUGUGAAAUGCGUAGAUAUAGGAAGGAACACCAGUGGCGAAGGCGACCACCUGGACUAAUACUGACACUGAGGUGCGAAAGCGUGGGGAGCAAACA